AUUGAACGCUGGCGGCAUGCCUUACACAUGCAAGUCGAACGGCAGCACGGGUGCUUGCACCUGGUGGCGAGUGGCGAACGGGUGAGUAAUACAUCGGAACAUGUCCUGUAGUGGGGGAUAGCCCGGCGAAAGCCGGAUUAAUACCGCAUACGAUCCACGGAUGAAAGCGGGGGACCUUCGGGCCUCGCGCUAUAGGGUUGGCCGAUGGCUGAUUAGCUAGUUGGUGGGGUAAAGGCCUACCAAGGCGACGAUCAGUAGCUGGUCUGAGAGGACGACCAGCCACACUGGGACUGAGACACGGCCCAGACUCCUACGGGAGGCAGCAGUGGGGAAUUUUGGACAAUGGGCGAAAGCCUGAUCCAGCAAUGCCGCGUGUGUGAAGAAGGCCUUCGGGUUGUAAAGGACUUUUGUCCGGAAAGAAAUCCUUGACUCUAAUACAGUCGGGGGAUGACGGUACCGGAAGAAUAGGCACCGGCUAACUACGUG
Molecule: ribosomal RNA, 486 nt
Filed under: uncultured bacterium
Lineage: Bacteria
Description: partial 16S ribosomal RNA
Rfam family: Bacterial small subunit ribosomal RNA
Source: RNAcentral